GAAAAAGUCCGUUAGCAUUUCUACCGUUUUCAGACGACGUAUCGUCAGAAGGGAGUGUCCAAGAUUUCAAUAUGUCUGAAGGGAGCUGCUGACAGAGAUGUAGGAAGCGCUGAAAAGAUUCUUCAGUGCUGAUGGCCUGCUGCAUCCAGCAGAGUC
Long non-coding RNA from Carassius auratus (goldfish), 156 nucleotides. RefSeq lists it as uncharacterized. The record is from RefSeq and is a predicted model, not a curated record. NCBI's taxonomy places the organism in Eukaryota, Metazoa, Chordata, Actinopteri, Cypriniformes, Cyprinidae. The transcript is spliced from 3 exons.